AUAAUGAGACAAGUUGGUAGGAUAUAACUGGGGUCAACCGCUGCUGAUAUUUAAACAGCUUAAUCUUAAAUCCAGAAGGUCAAUAUAUUCAGCUAUUUCGUGGGACUUUUGCAAAUGAUUUAUCCUGGUGACAGGAGGCCUCGGUUUUCAGAUCACAUCCUUUCCCUGUCCCUAAUCCAGUUGCUUGGGCCCUCUCCUGAUGCUGGCUUGAGGUUCCUGCCUAUACAUAACAGCUCCUGAGAAUCUGCUGACAAAGAAUUAGCCCUGGCCCGGCUUCCCCAUCCUGAGGACGCCUUGGCUUCCAGCAUUACAGCUCAUUAGGUGGAGAGAGGUUUGCAUGCGAGGCAAGUGGAAAGGGGGUCCCAUCCCUCCCACUUCCUUCUUUCUCCCAGCUAGCAAAUUCCAAGCCGAGACUGUCCAUGCUCCAGAGAGGAUUUCUGCUGCCACAGAGGAGGGGAAGGUGGGGAGAAGGUGGGCUCCUGCUCUGUGCCUCCCCAUCUGGAUCUCAUCAUUAUUUUCAAGGAGGCUUAUCUGCUCCAGCAUCCUGUCCCAAUUAAAAACCAACUCAGUUUAUGUUUCCA
This is a long non-coding RNA of Symphalangus syndactylus (siamang), 581 nucleotides long. RefSeq lists it as uncharacterized. Lineage: Eukaryota; Metazoa; Chordata; Mammalia; Primates; Hylobatidae. The record is from RefSeq and is a predicted model, not a curated record.